AGGCUGCAAGAUGUGCACCGUCGCUCAUAUGAGAUUUGCUAUCCACCUGUAGUAUUAGUUAUGGUAACCAUUUCGCAAUGCUGCUGCAUUUUCACCGCGUUUGCGGGACUCUUCUCCAUUUGCUCGCUUUUGAGAUUGGAACAUGUUGUAUUGGGGAAUAAAGGUCGAUUGGUGUCUUCAGAUUACCUGAUUCUUAUAUAUGGUUGAGAGUUUAUAUGUUACAAAUAGACCCACUCAAGGUUUGGUUUGCUUUUCUGACAUCUAAACAAGCAAGUUUGACGAUCAUUCUGUCCUAGAGGCAGUAUUCCUGUUCUCAGGAUUUUCGUAGGUUUUUUCCGGUGCAGGAUUCUGUAGCAUUAGUAUGGUAACUAUUUUGCAAUGCCACGGCAUUUUUCCACGCAUACAGGAUCUCUUUUCCAUUGCUCGCUUUUGAGAUUGGAACAUGUUGUAUUGGGGAAUAAAGGUUGAUUGAUGUCUUCACAUUACCUGAUUCUUAUGUAUGGUUGAGAGUUUAUAUGUUACAGAGACCAACUCAAAGUUUGGUUGCUUUUUU
RNAcentral lists this long non-coding RNA (553 nucleotides) under Triticum aestivum (bread wheat). RNAcentral's name for it is "long non-coding RNA (TAES_LNC004746)". The record is from RNAcentral. Lineage: Eukaryota; Viridiplantae; Streptophyta; Magnoliopsida; Poales; Poaceae.